UACGUAGGGCGCGAGCGUUGUCCGGAAUUAUUGGGCGUAAAGAGCUCGUAGGCGGCUUGUCACGUCGGGUGUGAAAGACCGGGGCUUAACUCCGGUUCUGCAUUCGAUACGGGCUAGCUAGAGUGUGGUAGGGGAGAUCGGAAUUCCUGGUGUAGCGGUGAAAUGCGCAGAUAUCAGGAGGAACACCGGUGGCGAAGGCGGUCUGCUGGGCAGUUUCUGACACUGAUGCGCGACAGCGUGGGGAGCAAACAGG
This 253-nucleotide ribosomal RNA is filed under the name uncultured bacterium. RNAcentral's name for it is "partial 16S ribosomal RNA". It matches the Rfam family "Bacterial small subunit ribosomal RNA", at positions 524 to 776 of the family's 1533-position model. The record is from RNAcentral.